GUUCUGUGAACGUAUUCUUGUGUUCUGUAGAUCAGUGCUUUUAGAAAAUUUGUGUGAUCUGGAGAACACAAAGAAUACCUACACAGAACCAUCUGC
MicroRNA precursor from Colobus angolensis palliatus, 96 nucleotides. The record is from Ensembl. Lineage: Eukaryota; Metazoa; Chordata; Mammalia; Primates; Cercopithecidae.